This is a long non-coding RNA of Nicotiana attenuata, 7447 nucleotides long. RefSeq lists it as uncharacterized. The record is from RefSeq and is a predicted model, not a curated record. The transcript has 3 exons. Lineage: Eukaryota; Viridiplantae; Streptophyta; Magnoliopsida; Solanales; Solanaceae.
ACGUAACUGCUUAUUUAUUAAAUUAGUUUCAGCACCUAAUGCUUAUCAGCUACUUCAGCUAAUCCAAACGGGCUCCUAAUCUUUUAGCUCAAAGAAUGAGGCAAUCGAAGAACUUGACAAUUUCCGCCAUGCCUAUGAUUUCUAAUUUGCUCUAAUCAACGGCAAUUUUUGCAUAUGUAUGAGUGUGUGUGUGUCUUUUUGUCUCUCUAUCUUUGGCUACUUUGCUCCUGCGUUUUCAGGCAAAGCAUAGAUAAGAGAGGGACUUUCCAGGAUUCGAACUCAGGGCCUCUUGUUUGGUAAAACCCAUGUCAUUUUCUUCAUAGUAUCAGCUCAAAGAAUGAGGUAUCAGAGAAGGGUACUUUUUCUGGGAAUCGAACUUGGGACCUCUUGUGCUUUGAAAACAUUUGCUCCAGGUUUUACAAAAGAAUGAGGUAUCUCAGAAGGGUACUUUUUCUUCUCAGGUGAGCCCAUGAUUUCAAUCCAAAAGCACUUUGCUUUCUCAAUGUAGUUGUUAGAUAGAUAUAUGGAUAGAAAAUAUGAGCUGUGAUGAUCAUAUUCUUUUUCCUUCUUUCUCUGAGCAACUCAAUCCAGCAAGAAAAAGAAGGGACCCGUAUCUUGGCGGGGCAACAAGGUUGGCGGUUUCCUGUCAUGCAACCGGUGCUUGCAACCAUGGCGAUGUCUUCAUUCUCUUGUCAUAUUUUCAAUUCACUAUAUCUGAGCCUCAUUUUUUCUCUUAUGGUGUCUUUGGUAUGAUGGAAAAUCUUUAUCAUGAUGAAAUCAGUAUUUGGUACAAUGUAUCACUAUGAGAAGAGAAAGGUGGGAAAUUUUCUAGACAGAGCCAAGAAUUUUCCUAAAAAGAGGUCAGCCCAGAAAGAGAAAUGAGGCUAACAGGGAAGGAUUUUCUGUGAAGGGUGGUUUCCUCUCUCUGUUGUGCCAAUGAUUUUCUUUAGCUACUAAACCAACAGCCGCUGUUCAUGAAAUACAAACAGCUUUUCUGUCUGCAGCUUCAGACAUGUGUUUGUUUUUCCUCCUCUUGAGCAAUUGUACAGAUUACGGAAGAGGCAGUGAUGAUGAAGUUUCACUUUCUGGGCUAGCUGAAUCGGGGACUUGGACAACUUGACCCGUAUCUUGGCCUGGCAAAUCACUGGAUGGUCGGCAUUUGAGGUUCUCUCUUUUGCAUGCAACCAGUGAUUUUGCAGCCAUGGCGGAGUUGACUUCUCUUUGCCUGAUAAAUGCAGUCGAAAUAGGCACUCUUGUUCUUUAGGAUCCAUUAGAACUCAAGGAUAUAGUGGUACGAGCCCAUAGAACAGACCCUGUUCAAUUAAGGUUGUCAUUUUUUUAUAUAGUGGUCCUCUGCUUCUGCUGCGACCACUGCUGAUUUACACAGAUAGCCACUCUUAUGGCCUUGUAUUUAGAAGGCCACAACUGAUUUGCACAAAUAGGAUACUGAUAUGGACUGUGAUGAUUGCUUCUUUCUGGGCUACCUACUCACAGCGUUGAGAAAAUCCGACAUGUAUCUUAGCGGGGCAACCCAGUAUGACAUCAUUUGCAAACUGGUGUCUGCAGUCAUGACGUGUGUCGCUUUCUCUAGGCAUGUUCAUAUACAAAAAGUAUCUGAGUCCCAAAAUCUACGGCACCUUUGAUGGUCUUAAAUGGAUGGUCGUUUUUGGGAACUGAAAACCCACUUGGGUUCUUCAGUUUUUCUUUAGCACACCCCAUUUCAGAUGCAGUUCUCUAUCAAUCUUUUAGCUCAAUGAAUGAGGCAGUCGGAGAAAAACGGGAUUUUUCAGGGUGGUUGACCAUCUCCGGCAUGCCUGUGAUAUCUAUUUUCUUUUAGCUCUAGCCAAGAGCUCUUUUUGUUUAUGCAUGUGUUUGUGCAACCAACCCCCAUAUAUUAAGGAUCAUUUUCCCUCCGUUUUCUGUUACUGUUACAGUCUGUUUCGCAGAGGCUGCGGCUGUGUUUCCAUGGCAAAGCAACAGCAAAAGCAUACAACUUGAAAUGGAAAAGGGAAAAUAAUGGGGCUGUGAUGAUAAUUUUACUAAGCAAAUGGCAUCGGGCAUUGUUGUUUCACGCCCGUAUCUUGGCGGGGCAAUCCAUAUUAUAUGGUUUGCAGCCAUGGCGGUGUGAAAUAUCUCAGUGCCCGAGUUAAUUACAGAUCUGAGCCUCAAAUCUUUCAUCCAAAUCAUCUCUAAUGAGCAAAAUGAGAUGAGAGUUAGCCCAGAAAGAAGAAUGAGGCCAACAGAGAGAAAAGGAUUUCUUCGAGGGUGGUUGCUCUCUCUGUUUGGCCUAUGAAUUUCUGCAUAAACCAAACCAAUAACCCUCUUCUUUUCUCUCUCUCUUUUUUUUUUUUUUCAAUUGGUAUAUUUAGGGGUGUUCAUGGUUCGGUUUGGUUGACCAAAAAAGAAGAAAAAUAUCAGUUGCCAUUGAUGUGAUGCUGAUAGCAAUAGUACUCUCUCGGUUCAUUUAUGUGUCCUGAAACUGUCCACAAAUUGCUAUGCCAAGUUUUCAACUGUCCAAAGAGGCAGUGAUAAGAUUGCUAAGCUGGGUUAUUAUUCGGGAAAUGGAGAAAACCCGAAUCUUGGCGGGGCAAACUCGGAUCAUGCAACCAGUCCAUUUUGCAGCCAUGGCGUUGUCGUCUUCUCUUUCCCCCAUUUUACACAUAUCUGAGCCUCAAUUUCCACAGUCUUUAAAUAGGGGUCCUGAAAACGGCUAUAUGUGGACUUCCCCCACUUUACUGUGUUGAGAAAAUCCGACUCGUAUCUUGGCAGGGCGACCUGGUAUGGCAUCAUUUGCAAACCGUGUCUGCAGCCAUGACGUGUGUUGCUUUCUCUCUGCUUUUUCAUAGAAAAGCAAAAUCUGGGCCCUAAAACUUUUAGGGCAACCAUUUGAUGAUCUUGAAUUGGACGGCCGUUCUCUGGAACUGAAAAACCAAAUUGGGUUCUUCAGUUUUUCAUGAACACCCCAUUUCAGAUGCAGUUCUCCAUCAAAAUUUUAGCUAAAAAAUGAGGCGAUCGGAGAAAAAAUGGGAUUUUUUCAGGGUGGUUGACCAUCUCCAGCAUGCCUAUGAUUUCUUUUUUUGGCUCUAAUCAACAGCCCUUUUUGCAUAUCUAUGAUGUGUGUGUGUGUGUCUGUAUAUAUAUAUGUAUUGUAUGUCUCUUUCUGUCUCUCUAUCUAUCUGCGACUACUCUGCUCUUGUGUGGCUGCGUUCUUUAGGCAAAUCAGCACAAAAGCAUAAAAAAAGGGUCUCUUCGUGUUAAAUUGUCUUUUAUUGAUCAGUGUUUUUACUACACAAAAGUGGAGGUCCAGACCCUGGUAUGAACUAUGAAGAAUGAGGCCAACAGAGAGAAAAGGGAAUUCUUGUAGGGUGGUUGCCCUCUCUGCUUGGCCGAUGAUUCUCCAUCAACUAAACAAACAACCCUCUGUAGAAAUACUAGUACUGAUUUCUGAUUUCUCUGAGCUUAAACCAAACAUCCUCUGAUCCUAGCUUUUGGUUGUCAAAUAUUAUCCGAAUUGGCUCUAUGGAAAAGUUGUCAUUUUUCGAAAGAGGCGGUGAUGAUAUUGCUAAACGUUGGCUGAUAUUCGAGGGCAUAGAAACAGUCCGACCCGCAUCUUGGCAGGGCAAACCCGGAUGGUUUGUGAUUGAGGCUUCUCUGUUACAUGCAACUGCUUCUUUUGCAGCCAUGGCGUAGUCGCCUUCUCUUUGCCCCAUUUUAAGCAGAUCUGAGCCUCAAUUGUCUCCCAUAUCUUUCUUUGGGUGUAUUUGAUUAGGCGAAGCCCUCGUAGAUUUUAGCUCAGAAAGGAAGGAGGAGGAAUCAGAGAGAGAUGGGAUUUUCUUCAAAGGGUGGUUGCCCCUCUCUGCUAUGUCCCGUGAUUUCUCCAUUCAUAAAACCAACAGACCUUCAAGAAAAAAAAAACAAGAAAAGGUAUAUGAUAAACCAUUCCAACAACACCCUGGACUAUGUACUUCUCUAAAAAGGGCUUUGCUCUUCUUUCCUCUGCCUCUCCCGAUUUUCACAAAUAUCCACUUUUAUGGAUUUGUAUUUGGAAUCCACGACUGAUGGUGAUCUUCAUAGAUCCAGAAAAUUUCACCGGAUGUCCCUUUUGAGAGGUGUUGUGUAAUAAUGAUCCUAUAUGUGCAAAUCUCCCUCACAGAUCACCUGAACUGGGCUAUGAUGAUUGCUUCUUUCUGGGGGGUCUUUUGCACAGCAGUGAGAAUUGGCCCAGAAGGAAGAAUGAGGCCAACAGAGAGAAAAUGGAUUUCUUCGAGGGUGGUUGCCCUCUCUGGCUGGCCUAUGAUUUCUCCACCAGCCAAACUAACAACCCUCUUCCCUUUUUUUUUUUUCCAGUUGGUUAUUUGUGAAAUUACAUAGCUUUUUAAGCAAAAGAGAGAAUUUUGAGGCUGUGAUGAUACUGUCUUCUCUUCUUUUAUGAGCUAAUCAAUUGGUCAAGAGAAAUAAAGGGACCCGUAUCUUGGCGGGGCAAUCCGGAUGGCAACUGAUCUUUGUGUCAUGCAACCGGUGUUUGCAGUCAUGGCGAUGUCUUCAUUCUCUUGUCUUAUCAACAGAUCUGAGCCUCCAUUUUACUCUUAUAGCUUGUUUGGAUGGUUGUUACUCAAUGUAUUGUAUUGUUAUUUUAUAAGGGCGUCUUUGGUAUGAUGGAAAACAUCUGUCUUUGGUUACUAAUGUACAACUCUGAGAAGAAGAAAGUUCAGAAUCAGGUGAGAGCCGAGAAUUUUCCUAAAAAAGAGUUGGCCCGGAAAGAGAAAUGAGGCUAACAGAGUGAAGGGAUUUUCUGUCAAGUGUGGUUGGCCCUCUCUGUUGUGCCAAUGUUUUUCUGUAGCUACUAGACCAACAGCCCUUGUUCAUGAAAUACGGAGAAACAUCAUAUUCUUUUUCAGUCUACAGCUUAAGCCAUGGACCUCUGUGUAUGUGUGUUUCUUUUUCCUCCUUUGGAAUAAUUUUACAAAAGAGGAAAACAGUGAUGAUAAUAUUCUUUCACUUUCUGGGCUAAACAUAUUGGACAUUGUGGACAAUCCGUAUCUUGGCCUGGCAAAUCCCUUGUUGUGCAUGCAACUGGUGAUUUUGCAGCCAUGGCGUAGUUGCCUACUUGCCUUCACUUUGUCCGAGCAAAAUGCAGUAUCUGAGCCUCAAAUUUCUGGAAAUCGAACUCGGGACGUAUGGUGCUUUGAAAAAUGUGGUAUGCAUGUAAAAGAUGGAUCUUUUGUAUAUACCCAUGUUGUUUUUGUUGCUGUUGCUUUGAGCCGAGGGUCUAUCAGAAACAGCCUCUCUACCUCCACGAGGUAAUGUCUUGUACACACUAUCCUCCCCAGUGAUUGUAAUGCCUUCUUAUCUUUUGAGCAAUUUGGGUUAGGUGUUGAGAUGAUAACAGCCAUAUCUUGGCGGGGUAACGUGGGAAGGUUGCAGCAAUGCCUGAUUGAAUUGAAAUCUGAGCUUCUUAUGUAAAUGAUGCUUAUGUAUAUUGUCUGUAUACUACAUACCUACAUACAUGCAUGCAUGCAUGUAUACAUGCAUGCAUAUCAGGAGAAAAUGUCCAAAAUGGUCCCUUAUCAAGGCAGUGAUGAUCGUUCAAUCUAUCCUUCUGAGCUAGUAAUUGGGCAUCGAGAGUAUCCAGCAUGUACUUGGCCCGGCAAUGACCCGGAUGCAUGUGAUUUUCUUACUUGCAACUUGGGGUAUUGCAGCCAUGGCGUGGCUGGACUUUCUUUGCCUGAACAUGAAUAAGUUCUGAGCCUCAAUUGUCCCUUAUAUUUUACUCUGGCUGUAUUUGACAUGGAAGAAACUGUUUCAGCCGAUAGAUGAAGCAAAAGGUGAAACAAAAAUGGCAAAAGUUUCAUUAGUUUAAGUCUAAGGCUGCUGGAUUGAGAGAGUUGUGGGGAGUUGUGUGAGUGGUUGUCCCUCUCUGUCAUUCUUAGCAGCCAAUGAUCCACUUAAAAUUUUCACUUAGGCAGUGAAGAUUUUCAUUCUUUACUCAUCAGAUGGUUGAACUGAGCUUUGCUACAUCUUGGCGUGGCAUCUCUUUGGUGGUCUUGUGGAUAUUGGAGCUAUUUUUUGUUUCUGUGUCUCGCGAAGGCUUCUUGAGCUUGCAGCCAUGGCGGAGUUUAGCUUAUGUAUGAGAAAAAGCGAAUCUGAGCCUCCCAAAUAUCUUUUUGUGUUCCAAGAGCGAGGCUUUUUAUGGAACUCGGAGGAAGGUUGAGAUUUUUUAAGGGUGGUUACUCUCUUCCUCUGAAGUUCAAUUUAGCCAAUGAAUUUUCCUAUGCUUUUAUCAUAAAGAGAAAGUUUAACUUCCCUUCAAGAGAAAAUACAUAUUUUGCCCCCCUAAACUUGUCCGGAAAAACCCGAAUCCUAAACCCUAAAGUUUGUGAAUGAGGCUGUGAUGAUAUUCUCCAGGAAGCUUUAAAACCAGAUUGGCUGAGCAAAGGCAUGGGAAUUUCUGAGGUUGGUCCUUUAUGUGCUCUCUCAGAAAGGCAUCUGCUUUUGCAGACAUGGCGGAUUAGCCGUUUUUUCUGAUAGAUUUUUAUGCAAAUCUGAGCCUUUUUCUUUCAUUCUUUCUACGUUCUUGUUCUUUCUUCUGCAGAAUAUCAGGAAGAAUCCUCAUCUCAAAAGAUAUGAAACAAGUCCAAAGAAAAAGGAAGUGAAUUUUGAGGAUUCAUAUAUUGUCUUUAACCAGUUUGAUAUUGAAGCUAGUUGUUGCUGCAGUUAUCUACACAAUAUUCAAACUUUCAUGCCUUUGUUUCAAUCUUGAACACUCGAAGUUUCAGAGGCAGUGAAGAUUAUAUAUAAUGAAAAUGAAAAGUGAAGAAGAUUAGAGUUGAUUCAUGCCUGGCUUGUCUUUCUAGAAACAGAUUUAGAUUACCUUCAUUGUGGAACCACUGAAGUCAAGAGCUCCAGCUUCCAACUCUAAAUCCUAAAGAGAAAUGGGGUUUCUGGGUUGAGUACAAGCAUUUGUUAUACUGCCAUUUCGAGUGGCUAUCAACAAUCUGGAUGAGGAGCUUGAGUUUUCUCCUUCGGACUUAAAAUUCGGUCUUUAUUGGGUUGAUGGAAAUUGGAUCUGCCAGCAUGAAAUGAUGGAAUGACAGUUUAUUGGCAUCCACAAAUACGAGGAAAGACCAGCUUAUACUAGACAUUCUAAUGGGAGUCGCACGUCAUAUGUCACGUUUGCCUCAGCUUGACUACUUGCACGAGGCCUCAGAGAUGCAAUUCUCUGAUUCUUGGCUACUGAAGUUUAGAGCUAUUGCUUUGUUCUUAAAUGUUAAUUUGUAUAAAAUGCACUAUGGUGGUUCAUUUUUUCUCACCCAAGAAUGUUGAUUAAUGUGGACGAAAUAUCAGUUUUUCUGCUAUUUUUUGCAAUUGCAGCAUCCACUGGGUGAUGAUCAUCAGAUCAAUCUUGUCAUUUGAAUCAGUUGAGAUAUGGAAUGUGUUUUACAGCAAA